AUGGGGCUGCACCUGUACGAUAUCCCCUACUCUACAUUCUUCAGAGUAGGGGUGAAGGCACAGUCAGCGACCAGACAAGGAGUCGUGAAGAGACAGCGGGGAGCCCUGCUGGGGCUUCUGUGGGUGCAGGUUUGCUGGGUGAGAGGGAUGGAUGUGGAGCAGACACCUGCAGCCCUGAGCCUCCAGGAGGGAGCCAGCUCUACCCUGAGGUGCAAUUUUUCCAGCUCGGUGACCUACGUGCAGUGGUUCCGACAGAACCCCGGGGGCGGCGGCCUCACCCGGCUUUUUUACAUCGCUUCAGGGAUGAAGCAGGAUGGGAGGUUGAACUGCACGGUGAACACGAAGGACCGGCACAGCAGCCUGCACAUCAGGGCCUCCCAGCAGGAAGACUCAGCCACCUAUCUGUGUGCGGUGCAGGCACAGUGCUCCCUGCUGCUCUGCAGCCUGUCCCCAAACUGA
This is a non-coding RNA of Puma concolor (puma), 459 nucleotides long. The record is from the annotation of a RefSeq genome assembly. Lineage: Eukaryota; Metazoa; Chordata; Mammalia; Carnivora; Felidae.